This 147-nucleotide ribosomal RNA is filed under the name Triticum aestivum (bread wheat). RNAcentral describes it as "partial small subunit ribosomal RNA". The record is from RNAcentral. Lineage: Eukaryota; Viridiplantae; Streptophyta; Magnoliopsida; Poales; Poaceae.
UCGGGUCGUCUCGGAGGAGAAGAAAUUGCACGCGCCGAAUCUAUUAAAAAGGGUAGACUUCCCCUCCAAACAAUUCGUGCUAAAAUUGAUUAUUGCUGCUAUCCAAUUCGGACCCUUCCUAGAAUGGGGUAUUAUCUGUCCCGAUAA